GUUUGAGAUAUGUUAGCAAAUGAGCAUUCAUCUAGACAUAGAGCUUACUUAGAAUUGUGUCUAGGCUUAAGGUCGAUAGUUUGAUUGAUCAUUUGCCAUCCUUAGUUCGAUACUUGAUCACCCAAGGUCUAAUCCAUAUGCCCAUGAGUUCUCUUUUCCCUUAGUCAGAAAGUAUCAUUCUGUAAUUGCACCCUCACCUUAGCUGGAUCUCUAGGAUUCGAAGACUCUGAACAUCCUUGCGUUUUCUGGUGAAGAACUCUUUAGCUCCUCCUCAUUUGAUCCCUCUUCUCAAAC
Molecule: long non-coding RNA, 294 nt
Filed under: Brassica napus (rape)
Lineage: Eukaryota; Viridiplantae; Streptophyta; Magnoliopsida; Brassicales; Brassicaceae
Description: long non-coding RNA (BNAP_LNC023755)
Source: RNAcentral